UUAAAGGGCCGUGGUAUACUGACCAUGCGAAGGUAGCAUAAUCAUUAGCCUUUUGAUUUGGGGCUGGAAUGAAUGGUCUGACGAGAGGCAACCUGUCUCCUUAAUUAACUCGAAUUUAAUCUUUAAGUGAAAAAGCUUAAAUAGCCUUGGAGGACGAUAAGACCCUAUAGAUCUUUACAUCCGGCUUUUUCAUCUAACGGUGGGUAAUCGGGUGGAAGAGGAGGAUGUUUGGUUGGGGCGACGUCGAGAGGGGAAUAAACACUCGAGAAUAUACAUACAUCAAUAAAUGAUCAUUGAUCCUUAGAUGAAAAUAGAGUAAGUUACCUUAGGGAUAACAGCGUAAUUCUUUUUGAGAGCUCAAAUCGACAAAAGAGUUUGCGACCUCGAUGUUGGUUCAGGGACCCUAUUUGGUGCAGCAGCUUAAUCAGGUAGUC
Molecule: ribosomal RNA, 434 nt
Filed under: Artemia urmiana
Lineage: Eukaryota; Metazoa; Arthropoda; Branchiopoda; Anostraca; Artemiidae
Description: partial large subunit ribosomal RNA
Rfam family: Archaeal large subunit ribosomal RNA
Source: RNAcentral